Molecule: long non-coding RNA, 1052 nt
Filed under: Sinocyclocheilus grahami
Lineage: Eukaryota; Metazoa; Chordata; Actinopteri; Cypriniformes; Cyprinidae
Description: lncRNA (ENSSGRG00000040127.1)
Source: RNAcentral
UUCUGUUUUUGUUUUGUUUUUUAUAUACAGAUUGAACAAGAUUUUUUGCUACUAUUUGGAGAAGAGAUCUCAGGAAAGUUUCUGGCAAAGUGGCCAACCUACUUCAAACAGAGAGUGAUCAAUGACAGCAAAGGAUUGUCCUCCAGUCACCACAUUGAGGAACUCAUCAAAGAUGCUCAGCGUGAACCUGGUGAUGGUAAGAUUUAACACGUAUCAUAAAAAGGAAUCGCUGUAUCUCCUGCCCCCAACUCCAAAAGGUCACAAGAAGGCAGCAAAGAUCAGCCCCCUUCAGGCAGCUGACCAUGUGGUGCGAUUUCUUAGGAUGGGAACCAGCAUUCCAAUGUUUUUGGAGAAAGUCGGAUCUGCACAGCCUUUCCUGCUCUGUAUUGGAGAAAAUACCAAAAGCAUUCAUAGGUUCUUCAUUAUUGUCGACAUGAAACCAAUUCCAUGCAAGGCUCUGACGACGGUAGCAGCAUUUGAUGAGCUCUUUAAGGCACACUUUGUGUUCAGCACAUCAUACCACGAAAGUCUGGCAAACUUCUACAUGUUCAUCCAAACGGCAGUGUACAACAUAGAUGCUGGAACCUCCAAAGAAAGACCAAGAGUCAGAGAACUAAGGGCAAGAUUUCUCAGUGGAAAGGAGUGAUUGAAGAUAGGGUCAAAGCAUGUUUACAUGUUUUAUUUGUAAAACUUCUCAUCGGACUUCAUCUCUGAUUUGUCGGCAUUUGAAACUUCUACACGGACUUUACCCUGGAAAGCUCUUGCGUUUACGAUGUGCAGAGUUCGGAUGUUCUUCAAUGUUUGGCACAUAUUCUGGAUUUAAGAAACAUUUAAUCACAGUUCAUCCAGUGUUCAAAAAAGUUGUUAAUAUUAUUGUGAAAGAUGAGAAGGUUUUUCUUUCGACAAGCAGUGUUCAAACUGUGCAAAUGGAUGAAGACCUUCAUGCAUUUAUAAUAGAUGAUGAAAUUGUUCCUUUUACAGUAUUUGCACUGCAGACCAGAGUUGUUUUUUAACUCUAUACCGUGUACAUAUAACUCAUUCAUAGUGUUAAA